AGAGUUUGAUCCUGGCUCAGAUUGAACGCUGGCGGCAGGCCUAACACAUGCAAGUCGAGCGGUAACAUUUCUAGCUUGCUAGAAGAUGACGAGCGGCGGACGGGUGAGUAACGCGUAGAAAUCUACCUAGUAGUGGGGGAUAGCCCAGAGAAAUUUGGAUUAAUACCGCAUACGCCCUACGGGGGAAAGGAGGGGACCUUCGGGCCUUUCGCUAUUAGAUGAGUCUGCGUCGGAUUAGCUUGUUGGUGAGGUAAUGGCUCACCAAGGCGACGAUCCGUAGCUGGUCUGAGAGGAUGAUCAGCCACACUGGAACUGAGACACGGUCCAGACUCCUACGGGAGGCAGCAGUGGGGAAUAUUGCACAAUGGGCGAAAGCCUGAUGCAGCCAUGCCGCGUGUGUGAAGAAGGCCUUAGGGUUGUAAAGCACUUUCAGCAGUGAGGAAAGGAGUGUAGUUAAUAACUGCAUUCUGUGACGUUAACUGCAGAAGAAGGACCGGCUAACUCCGUGCCAGCAGCCGCGGUAAUACGGAGGGUCCGAGCGUUAAUCGGAAUUACUGGGCGUAAAGCGCGCGUAGGCGGUUUGUUAAGUCAGAUGUGAAAGCCCCGGGCUCAACCUGGGAACUGCACCUGAUACUGGCAAACUAGAGUACAGAAGAGGGUGGUGGAAUUUCCUGUGUAGCGGUGAAAUGCGUAGAUAUAGGAAGGAACACCAGUGGCGAAGGCGACCACCUGGUCUGAUACUGACGCUGAGGUGCGAAAGCGUGGGGUAGCGAACAGGAUUAGAUACCCUAUAGUCCACGCCCGUAAACGAUGUCCACCUAGCCUGUUUGGGGUCCUAUUUAAAAAAAGCUCUUAGCUG
This 859-nucleotide ribosomal RNA is filed under the name uncultured bacterium. Its description in RNAcentral is "bacterial SSU rRNA". It matches the Rfam family "Bacterial small subunit ribosomal RNA", at positions 8 to 854 of the family's 1533-position model. The record is from RNAcentral.